UUUAAAACCCCCCUCAAAAGUCUCCGAACACCUUCUCUCUAAAACAAUCCACACUCCAAGCAAAAUCCUUUCUGCAAUCUAAUUCGAUAUGGGUUUUAGUAAAGAAGAGAUUAGCAGAAGCAGAAGGUUUUGGUCAUCACUAUGGAGAGGAAUCAAAACUGUAUUCGUUUUGUUCACAAUGUUCCUCUCUUUUCUCCUUGUCUCUGCUCCCAUCUUCCUCGCCGUCGCCGACGCUCUCCUACCUUCCGCCCUCCUCCACCGCCUCUCUCCGCCGACGAAUCUCUCUUCUCAUCUCACCAACUACGAUUUCCGUCACUCCCUCAUCGAUAUUCCCUUAAUCUCCAUCGUUAGAUCCGCCAUUAUACUCUGCGUUUAUGGGCUCUGCGAUGGACCCAAGUUAUCGAGAGGACCGUAUCUGACAAUAACGAUGAUUUGCUCAGUUUCGUCUCUGAUCUACGUGUCGUUAAAAGCGGCGUUCGUGUUCGGCGAGCCGGCGAUCGGAGACGGCGGAGGUAAUUACUUCAGGGCGGCGGAAGUGGCUCUGUUCCUCUGCUCGUCGGUUUUAGCCAUCGGUCACAUCGUUGUCGCGUAUCGAACGAGUUGUAGAGAGAGAAGAAAGCUCCUCGUCUUCAAAAUCGACAUCGAAGCCGUUUCAGCUUGUAAUAAGAACGUGUACCCGAGAUACCAAAAGAUCCUCCAACAAGAGAGACUCAAAUAGAGACGUAUUUCAAGAGAAUUAAUACUUGUACAUAUAUAUGUAUAUAACACACACAUGACACAUACUAUGUAAAUGUGAAUAUAAAAAUACGACGUAUAAAUGUAGCUUGUUCUGCCUUUCGGUGUUGACUCAUCAACUCCUUCGCUUUUAAGUUUCAGUUAACAGAAAAAUCCACAGGAUUGUCUGUAACAGGCGGGAGGAACAGAUAAGGGAAUGGAGCCUAUAUAACCUAACGACUUUUUAAAAAAAAAUGUAAGACAACUCCGAUGAUUUAGCAGUGGUUAGCUUUAAUGUUAGAUUAGUCAGGGUAAUUUGUAAAUGAUAUAGUAUACUUUGUUUAUUUUGUGUUACCCUAGAGUUGAUCAAUGGGAAGAGGCCCAAGGCAUCUGUUUAAAUCCUCUCUCCGCUUUAUUUAUGUUUGUACUUUUUUGGUUUAAAAUCUUGUGUUUGUAAUUGCGAGCAGGCGUGAAUGCCUUUAUACGUCACCAAAAUUUAUAAAGCAACC
This is an RNA transcript of Eutrema salsugineum, 1223 nucleotides long. RefSeq lists it as uncharacterized. The transcript is spliced from 4 exons. The record is from RefSeq and is a predicted model, not a curated record. NCBI's taxonomy places the organism in Eukaryota, Viridiplantae, Streptophyta, Magnoliopsida, Brassicales, Brassicaceae.